Molecule: long non-coding RNA, 2428 nt
Organism: Camelus dromedarius (Arabian camel)
Lineage: Eukaryota; Metazoa; Chordata; Mammalia; Artiodactyla; Camelidae
Exons: 2
Source: RefSeq, a predicted model, not a curated record
CAGUCAUUGCUGCCCCUGAGGACUCCGUUUCCCCGUCUGUAAAAUAUCAGAGUAUGUCCUUCAACUUUCUCGAAUAGCCCUCCACUUGCAUGACGGCAGGGAAGCCAAUGUGUGGGUCCUAACAGAUGUGGAUGUCACCACUACUUCCCACCCUUAAGCCACGUGGGCCACUUCUCUGUCUUCUACCACUUCCUCCAAACCCCAGGGACCAGGUCAUUUCCUUUUUUCUUUCACAACUGUGACCAAACAGAAAAUCCCGUUCCUUGUUUUCAGCACACUCAUCUACACGUAAUGCAUCCGCUUCAGCUCUGUUUAAGAAUGUUGUUGCUAUUUGCUCUGAGGAACCGACCUAAAGGAAACAAGACUGACAAGCCUGGUGAAGGUAACAGGUUAAACUCACAAGGUUCAUGACCUCUGUCCUCGUCAUCCGAAUCGAAGAAUGCUCUUUGUAUGGGAGCAACACGUUGGGAUCUCUGUUGGCGUAUUUCCCCAGCCCCUUUCCCCCAGAAGAUUUUACUCUCAACUCUCCAAAAAGUGAUGGCCAGGAAUUCCAAAAGUGCCACCAAGCAGUUCAGAGUGGUGCAACCUGGAGGGUCCAGACCAGAGGCAACUUAUGAUGCUGAUCAAGGUUUCCCAUGUGCUCCCACCUUCCCCUGCUAGUGACGUCUGUCCUCCCGUCCAGCUGGGUCUCGCCUCUCAGAGCCUCAGUUCUGUGUCACUCUGCCUCCAUCAUUACGACAAGCCUGAAUUGCACUUAUCAUAUCUUUUUUGUUUUGCAAGUUAACUAGCUAAGGCUUAGAGAAAUGAAUUGUUCACUGUCUAUCACGGAGUGGGGAAAGUGAAAGAACUCGGAUUGCAACCCAGGUCUCUAUAACUAGAUUCCAAGUGGUGCAAAAAGGCUAACAUCGUGCUCUCGGAUACGCAUGUCUUCCGCGUGGAAGGCUUGAACCAGGUUUUCGAGAAUUAAGGAGACUGCAUGCAAUUCCUGUAACUCCAAGCACGCGGGCUGCGGGGAAAUAUUUCAGCAUCGGUGGGUGUUUUCAAGCUUCCCUGAAGUACGUCUACCCGCUCUGCUUGACGUGCACUCCAGGAGACACGAGCACCUGCGACCGUCAACCGGAAAAACACCCGACCGAACCAUUCAGAGCCUACAGAGGGUCAGGGGGAAAGAGGCCAGAGGAAGCCCAGAGCUGGGGCUGGGGGCCAGGGAAGUGCUAUCAAUGAGGCUAACUGGGCGAUGCCUUUUCACGGAGAUGAGUGUUUCCAAUUGUGAGAUUAUACGGCCAGUGGGUGGCUGGGAGGGAAGGCUUGUUGCCGUUGGACGCCCUUUGGAAUUGAGCCAGAGGGUUUGAACACAAAGGGAAAAACAACCCAAGGUGGGUGAUGUCACAGAGCAUCCUGAGGAAAGUGGCAAGGAUAAAGCUUCCUACUGCUCGGAUCCAAAGAACACAGACUUAUUUUGGCAUUAAUUCCUUCUGCAGCCAGAAACUUGACUCUUAGGGCAAGAUUAAUCCUAAUCGUAAAGACUCAGUGCUGCAGAGGAGGCGUGUGUGUGUGUGUGUGUGUGUGCGUGUGUAAGUCUGGUUCCUGCGUGUUCUCAGCUCUCCUCCACACGUGUUCUAGGCAGUUUAUGAAUCCCCGUAACGAGGCAAAGGCCUUUUCCACUGAGGUGCAUAGAACGUUGGCUUGCUCUCCUCAAGGGCACUCAAACCAUGAUCAGAAAUAUGUCAUCUCAUAUAAUGAUGAUGAUGACUUCAUAUGGGAAAAAAGGGGAGGGAAGAGGGAACCAAAACUCAAGAGGCUUUAGGUCAGUGGCUGCCCAGUGUCAGUGAAACAGAGAAAUUCAUUUUACUGCAUUUCUUAGGCGAUGAAGGAGGGUCUGUUUGUCAGGUCAAACCACCAAUGAAAAUAUCUAUGCAUUGUAAAUAUUUUAAAAUUUUCUAUUAUGCUGUUUUGAUAUCCUAAUAAAAAAGAAAAUAAAAACAAACCAAAACUGUUCUGGCUGGAGAGAGACUGCCCCUCCCAGGGCUAGCCAAUUUUUAGAGAGAACCAGGGACCCAGCCUGGAGAUGCUUCUGAUGCACAAACCCGCUAACCCAGGGCCACACACCCUGUAUCUGGCUCUGCAUGCAAGGAGGCAGUGUUCUUCUGCUGCAGGCAUCCUAGUGCCAGGUAUCAAGCAACGAGGAACCACCCUCAUCUCCCAACGCCCUCCCAAAGUAUUCAGACCGGCCACAGCUAAGCUAUUCAUCCUGCUGAGCCAUGCCUUCCUCACGCAAACCCCGAGAGAGGCCAGCCAUAGCCUGACCCUCCCUGGCUGCUGUCUUCACUUCCUGACCAUCCUGGUGUCCCUCCCGUGUGGCCUGGGCUGCACGCCGCCCCUCCCGCCUCAAGGACCUUCGAGUAGAAUAAACUUUAUUUCUUCCUGA